This 468-nucleotide ribosomal RNA is filed under the name uncultured bacterium. RNAcentral's name for it is "partial 16S ribosomal RNA". It matches the Rfam family "Bacterial small subunit ribosomal RNA", at positions 28 to 507 of the family's 1533-position model. The record is from RNAcentral.
GACGAACGCUGGCGGCGUGCUUAACACAUGCAAGUCGAACGGAAAGGCCCUGCUUUUGUGGGGUGCUCGAGUGGCGAACGGGUGAGUAACACGUGAGUAACCUGCCCUUGACUUUGGGAUAACUUCAGGAAACUGGGGCUAAUACCGGAUAGGAGCUCCUGCUGCAUGGUGGGGGUUGGAAAGUUUCGGCGGUUGGGGAUGGACUCGCGGCUUAUCAGCUUGUUGGUGGGGUAGUGGCUUACCAAGGCUUUGCCGGGUAGCCGGGCUGAGAGGGGGACCGGCCAAAUUGGGACUGGGAUGCGGCCCAGACUACUACGGGAGGCAGCAGUGGGGAAUAUUGCACAAUGGGCGGAAGCCUGAUGCAGCCACGCCGCGUGCGGGAUGACGGCCUUCGGGUUGUAAACCGCAUUCGCCUGUGACGAAGCGUGAGUGACGGUAAUGGGUAAAGAAGCACCGGCUAACUACGUG